Molecule: ribosomal RNA, 460 nt
Filed under: uncultured bacterium
Lineage: Bacteria
Description: partial 16S ribosomal RNA
Rfam family: Bacterial small subunit ribosomal RNA
Source: RNAcentral
CCUACGGGCGGCAGCAGUGAGGAAUAUUGGUCAAUGGACGAGAGUCUGAACCAGCCAAGUAGCGUGAAGGAUGACUGCCCUAUGGGUUGUAAACUUCUUUUAUAUGGGAGUAAAAUGUUCCACGUGUGGGAUUUUGUAUGUACCAUAUGAAUAAGGAUCGGCUAACUCCGUGCCAGCAGCCGCGGUAAUACGGAGGAUCCGAGCGUUAUCCGGAUUUAUUGGGUUUAAAGGGAGCGUAGGUGGAUUGUUAAGUCAGUUGUGAAAGUUUGCGGCUCAACCGUAAAAUUGCAGUUGAAACUGGCAGUCUUGAGUACAGUAGAGGUGGGCGGAAUUCGUGGUGUAGCGGUGAAAUGCUUAGAUAUCACGAAGAACUCCGAUUGCGAAGGCAGUUCACUGGACUGCAACUGACACUGAGGCUCGAAAGUGUGGGUAUCAAACAGGAUUAGAUACCCUUGUAGUC